AUUGAACGCUGGCGGCAGGCCUAACACAUGCAAGUCGAACGGUAACAGGAAGAAGCUUGCUUCUUUGCUGACGAGUGGCGGACGGGUGAGUAAUGUCUGGGAAACUGCCUGAUGGAGGGGGAUAACUACUGGAAACGGUAGCUAAUACCGCAUAACGUCGCAAGACCAAAGAGGGGGACCUUCGGCCCUCUGGCCAUCGGAUGUGCCCAGAUGGGAUUAGCUAGUUGGUGGGGUAACGGCUCACCAAGGCGACGAUCCCUAGCUGGUCUGAGAGGAUGACCAGCCACACUGGAACUGAGACACGGUCCAGACUCCUACGGGAGGCAGCAGUGGGGAAUAUUGCACAAUGGGCGCAAGCCUGAUGCAGCCAUGCCGCGUGUAUGAAGAAGGCCUUCGGGUUGUAAAGUACUUUCAGCGGGGAGGAAGGGAGUAAAGUUAAUACCUUUGCUCAUUGACGUUACCCGCAGAAGAAGCACCGGCUAACUCCGUGCCAGCCGCCGCAGUAA
This 506-nucleotide ribosomal RNA is filed under the name uncultured bacterium. RNAcentral describes it as "partial 16S ribosomal RNA". It matches the Rfam family "Bacterial small subunit ribosomal RNA", at positions 30 to 523 of the family's 1533-position model. The record is from RNAcentral.